RNAcentral lists this ribosomal RNA (468 nucleotides) under uncultured bacterium. Its description in RNAcentral is "partial 16S ribosomal RNA". It matches the Rfam family "Bacterial small subunit ribosomal RNA", at positions 28 to 507 of the family's 1533-position model. The record is from RNAcentral.
GACGAACGCUGGCGGCGUGCUUAACACAUGCAAGUCGAACGGAAAGGCCCUGCUUUUGUGGGGUGCUCGAGUGGCGAACGGGUGAGUAACACGUGAGUAACCUGCCCUUGACUUUGGGAUAACUUCAGGAAACUGGGGCUAAUACCGGAUAGGAGCUCCUGCUGCAUGGUGGGGGUUGGAAAGUUUCGGCGGUUGGGGAUGGACUCGCGGCCUAUCAGCUUGUUGGUGGGGUAGUGGCUUACCAAGGCUUGGACGGGUAGCCGGCCUGAGAGGGUGACCGGCCACAGUGGGACUGAGAUGCGGCCCAGACUCCUACGGGAGGCAGCAGUGGGGGAUUGUGCACGAUGGGCGGAGGCCGUAUGCAGCAACGCCGCGUGCGAGAUGACGGCCGUCGGGUUGUAAACCGCUUUCGCCUGUGACGAAGCGUGAGUGACGGUAAUGGGUAAAGAAGCACCGGCUAACUACGUG